This 653-nucleotide long non-coding RNA is filed under the name Triticum aestivum (bread wheat). RNAcentral's name for it is "long non-coding RNA (TAES_LNC013931)". Lineage: Eukaryota; Viridiplantae; Streptophyta; Magnoliopsida; Poales; Poaceae. The record is from RNAcentral.
UUUCAGAAGACAAUGAGUCCGGAACAGACGAGUGAAGAUCAUUGCUGGAUAGUUUCAUAGUUCGAUUUCUACCAGUCCAACCGAUUCAUGUCCUCUGGCUAUUUUUCUGUAAGUAUAUUUCCUAAUAAGCAUCUCUGAAUUGUCUAGUUGUGAAGAAAAAAGGAUAUCACAUUGCUGGAGGCAUGAAACCAAGUGCCAGAUUAUACAGUUUCAUAUAUACUUUUCUGGUUUUAUUCAUAUAUCAUAUGGUGUGUCCACAAAUGGCACUACUGCAUGAGAUGCAUUAAUUCUGAAUAUGCAUGUCUAGGACAGUACAACUCCAGUAAUAAUAUAUGUGUCACCGUGAGCUGAGUUCCAACAUAUUCAGUCAAUGCUCUGUGCUGUCUAUGUAUUUAAAUUAGUGGCUGCUGCCAGGUAGUAUGUUGCUUUUAUGUGACUUUGUGCUGGCUGGCUAUAAUUUAACAUUGGCUGAUUUGGCAUCUACGUGUUGUUGUUCAUCAUUAAUUUUGUACAUGACUUUGUAGGGGAACUACUGUGCAUCCGAAGGAGGAUAUCACUAGUCCACUUGCAGUUCAACUAAUGAUCGACCAUGUUCCGGUAUUUUGGAAAUAGUGAAAUGGCAUGUGUGUCAGAUGAUGCUGCUCCUGAUCAUG